Molecule: non-coding RNA, 212 nt
Organism: Oryza meridionalis
Lineage: Eukaryota; Viridiplantae; Streptophyta; Magnoliopsida; Poales; Poaceae
Source: Rfam
AAUAAGCGUAAUCGUGGGUUUCAGAGUCCAACUUUGAUCAUUCAUCUUAUUCGAAAUAUUUUUAUAAUUAGUAUUUUUAUUAUUAUUAGAUGAUUAAAUAUGAAUAGUACUUUGUGCGUGACUUAACUUCUAAAGCUUUUUCAUAAAAUUUUCAAAUAAGACGAAUGGUCAAACGUUAGUCACGGAAACGGAAACUUAUGGCUGUACUUGUA